This 500-nucleotide ribosomal RNA is filed under the name uncultured bacterium. Its description in RNAcentral is "partial 16S ribosomal RNA". It matches the Rfam family "Bacterial small subunit ribosomal RNA", at positions 30 to 523 of the family's 1533-position model. The record is from RNAcentral.
AUUGCACGCUGGCGGCAUGCUUUACACAUGCAAGUCGAACGGUAACAGGGUGCUUGCACCGCUGACGAGUGGCGAACGGGUGAGUAAGGCGUCGGAACGUGCCGAGUAGUGGGGGAUAACGCAGCGAAAGUUGUGCUAAUCGCGCAUACGUACUGAGGUAGAAAGUGGGGGACCUUCGGGCCUAGCGCGAUUCGACCGGCCGACGACUGAUUAGCUAGUAGGUGAGGUAAAGGCUCACCUAGGCGACGAUCAGUAGCGGGUCGGAGAGGAUGAUCCGCCACACUGGGACUGAGACACGGCCCAGACUCCUACGGGAGGCAGCAGUGGGGAAUUUUGGACAAUGGGCGAAAGCCUGAUCCAGACAUGCCGCGUGUCCGAAGAAGGCCUUCGGGUUGUAAAGGACUUUUGUCAGGGAGGAAAUCCCUAGUGCUAAUAACACUGGGGGAUGACAGUACCUGAAGAAUAAGCACCGGCUAACUACGUGCCAGCCGCCGCUGUAA